Molecule: ribosomal RNA, 383 nt
Filed under: Pinna nobilis
Lineage: Eukaryota; Metazoa; Mollusca; Bivalvia; Pterioida; Pinnidae
Description: partial 16S ribosomal RNA
Rfam family: Bacterial large subunit ribosomal RNA
Source: RNAcentral
CCUAGCCUUUUAAUUGGAGGCCUGCAUGAAUGGCUUGACGAGCGCCCUGCUGUCUCUCUUCCCAUGAACUUUUAAAUUAACUUUCGCGUGCAAAGGCGCGAAUGGCUGAGUUAGACGAAAAGACCCUAUGCAUCUUUACUGAGAGAGAAGAAAGUUCUUUAGCUUGGUUUAGCUGGGGCAGCUGAGGAAAAGGCAAAAUUUCCUUAAUAUAAAUCAUACUGGUGGGUUUAGAUCCAGGCUCUUUAGCGGGCUUGACAAGUAGAAAAGUUACGCUAGGGAUAACAGCGUUAUCCUUCUGUGGAGGUCUUAUCUGCAGGAGGGAUUGCGACCUCGAUGUUGAAUUAGGGAUAUACCAGAAAGGCGCAGAAGCUUUUAUUGUGGGU